GCAGUUGCAGCUUCGUCUGUAUAUUUGCAGUGCUGAUAAACAAAGUGAGUCUGCAGGUCACAGUAGAGGCUGUUUUCGGUGGUUCUGUUGUCCUGCCGUGUUCUUCAGCUGAACAUGAUCUUAAACUUCAAGACAUUGAUGUGUUUUGGAGACACAAUGGCAGCAAGAUUGUGUUUGAUAUAAUCAAGGGUGCAGAUUCACUAGAGAAUCAGGGCCAAUGGUACAAGAACAGAGCUGAAACUUUCCCUGAAGAGUAUGUGAGAGGAAACUUCUCCAUCAAACUCUGGUCUCACUCACGCUGAUGCUGGAAAAUACAUCUGCCUCAUCACCCCCUCAGAUGAACAGGAGACUGUAGAGGUGAUCAUCAACGACUUGUUUGUUGCAGAAACAACAACAGAAAAAGGAAACAAAACCACUGAUCAAGAAAAUCAAGAAACCAGACCAGACCGUGUCGAGAAAUCGUGGCUUUGGAUCCUGGUUGUCAUUCUUUUAACCAUAAUACUGGGUUUACUUUUCUUUCUAAUUAUCUUUAGAAAAAAGAUCCCAAGCUGCCUUAUGUCAGGUGAACAUGGCCUGGGUUCAGACGCUCAUGAGGUUGUGAGCCCUGUCCCAUGUUAUAAAUCAGUAACUGCUGAUGAUCGUGCUGAAGUAGCAGAUGUGCAGCUUGGUGCACUGACAGCAAUUACACGAGCUUUCGCGCUAAACAAGAAGAAAAAAGGAAACGGGAACAUUUUUAGCUGAAGUUAAAGGAAAAUGAGGCUGUCAAUAUGAUGCUGCCUUAACAGUUCUGUACUGCAAGUGUUAUAUAUGUAUAUAUGUUAAUAUGUAGUGAACAUAUUCAUACUGAAAAUGUUUUAUUUUGUUCAAAUCUGCUUCGAU
Long non-coding RNA from Onychostoma macrolepis, 879 nucleotides. RefSeq lists it as uncharacterized. The record is from RefSeq and is a predicted model, not a curated record. The transcript has 3 exons. Lineage: Eukaryota; Metazoa; Chordata; Actinopteri; Cypriniformes; Cyprinidae.